Molecule: long non-coding RNA, 1614 nt
Organism: Symphalangus syndactylus (siamang)
Lineage: Eukaryota; Metazoa; Chordata; Mammalia; Primates; Hylobatidae
Source: RefSeq, a predicted model, not a curated record
GUCCCCCAUGAGGAAGCGUAAGGGACGUCCCCCAUGAGGAAGCGUAAGGGACGUCCCCCAUGAGGAAGCGUAAGGGAUGUCCACCACAAGAGGCGUGGGGAGCGGCGGCAGCACGUUCAUCCACUGUGCUUGCCUUCGUUUAUUUCCCCGAUGCCCUUUUCCCGGACUUCCUAGCUGGAUCUCCGUGAGUGCCAGGGCUGGGUCUGGGAAGGGUUUGGGACCCAGCAUAUCACCCGGCACAGUCCGUGUUUGCUCAAUAUUUGCUGAGAGGAAACCGCAGCCACGUCACCGACUUACAACAGGAGCUUCCUGUAUGGAGCAGAAAUGUGUUGUUGCCCGUGGCUUUGCCGGAGCUCCGAGCAGUGGCGAGAGGAAGUCACAGAACGAGAAUUAAUCCACAGAGGAGCCAAGGAAAACGCGGGGCACCGAGUAGACGGGUGAGGAGUGUGAGCGAUGUGGCCGGCAUGGCCGCCCCACCAGCAGCUGCAUCCUGAGCGCUUCACGGACGUGGCCCUCUUCAUCCACACAACUGCCCCAGGAGCCACUGAAGGAGGCUCCACGAAACCUCGACUCGCGUUGCAGCGCACGUCCGACCACACUCGCCUUUGAUCACUUUUAUCACCCGGGGUCCUGCAGUCAGGGCUUUGAGCCUGCAGUGGUCUGUGGGAAACAAUCUACAAUUCGAAGCUCCACCAAACUCACUCUGAGUCAUGGAAUUUCUGUCACUGACUGCUUUCCUCCAAGGCCCAAACUGGAUGUAUGAACUUUCAAAGAAAACUUCACAUUGAAAAAGUGUGGCCAGGUGCGGUGGCUCACGCCUGUAAUCCCAGCACUUUGGGAGGCCGAGGCAGGUGGAUCACAAUGUCAGGAGUUCGAGACCAGUCUGGCCAAGAUGAUGAAACCCCGUCUCUACUAAAAAUAAAAAAUUAUCCAGGCGUGGUGACAGGCGCCUGCAGUCCCAGCUACUCGGGAGGCUGAGGCAGGAGAAUUCCUUGAACCUGGGAGGCGGAGGUUGCAGUGAGCCGAGAUCGUGCCACUGCAGUCUAGCCUCGGUGACAGAGCGAGACUCCAUCUCAAAAAAAAAAAAAAAAAAAAAAAGGAAAAAGUGAUGUACCCACAGCAUUGCAUUGUAGAAUGAUGUUUACAAAGGAAAAACAAGGCCGGGCGUGGUGGACUGAGCCUGUAGUCCCAGCUACUUGGAAGGCUAAGGUGAGAGGGUGGUUUGAGCUCAGGAGAAGCUUGCAGUGAGCCCAGAUGCACUUCAUCUUGGGCAACAGUGCCAGAUCCUGUGUCAAAAAUAAUGUUUUUUUUUUUGGUGGCUCACACCUGUAGAUGCAGCUACUCAGGAGGCUGAGGUGGGAGGAUCAAAUGAGCUCGGGAGGCCGAGGCUGCAGUGGGCUGUGAUCGCACCACUGCACUGCAGCCUGGGUGACAGAGCAAGAUCCUGUCUCAAAAAAAAAAAAAAAAAAGGAAAAACUAUUGUUUAUGCCAUCGCCACCCAGUAAACCUAGUUACUGAUAUUUUUACUUGCAGUGUAACUUUCUGGCCCCUUCCCAUAACCACGUGUAUUUGGUAAGCUUUUGUUUUCAAAAUAAGCCAAUAAAACUUAAUAAG